This 1301-nucleotide long non-coding RNA is filed under the name Salvator merianae (Argentine black and white tegu). RNAcentral describes it as "lncRNA (ENSSMRG00000008230.1)". Lineage: Eukaryota; Metazoa; Chordata; Lepidosauria; Squamata; Teiidae. The record is from RNAcentral.
AGCUGUUAUACAAUAUGAAGGCUGUGAAGAUUCAGUGCAUGUGAUCCAGUGUGCGCAAAGCUGAUCUCAGUCAAACAAUAAAACUUGAAAUUGAUACAAAGUGGUAUAAUUGGACAAGUAUAGAAUGUUUCCCAGUAUCCACAUCGAAAACAAAUCCAAAUGUACUUUCAAUUCAAAGCAAAGGUUUACUACGAAUCUGGAGCUAGCCUUAGCACGCAAUCAAGUCAAUGGAUUGCAGCAACCAAGAAGCCUUCCUGAAACAAAAGCCUGGUUAAAGCAACCUCCUGACUUUAGCUACAGGCUAUACAUAUCCCCAGGCCUUUCCACUAAGCUAUUGAAAAAGCCAAAGGUGGCGAAGAAGAUAAAGCCAUCAACAAGCACUUUUUAUGAGGAAUUGCACAAGAUAAAGUCCAGCUUGUCCAUCCCAUCCAUGGAACACCAGGAGCAACUUAAGAUCAUUACAAGGUUUCCUCGUGUGAGCUCUUACGAAGCCCAGUUACUGUUUGUAAAGUUGGGGAAGUUUAAGUGCAGCAAAUACGAAGAUCCAAAGCCACAUGAUUUUAGACAGUAUGAAUCAGAAAUACCGGAUUUUGUGACAAGCUAUACCAGGGAUCCUUUGAAUCUCAAGUUCAAAUCACAGUGUUUAAGCAAAAUCCAUGGACUUUAUCCUUUAAAGGAAGAAAAAAGGGGAUCUGGAUCAAAGGAAAGAUUUAUCACCUACAAGCCUAAAGAACUCAAGUGGGACUCAAAAUUACUUUUGCCAAAGGAACCUUGGCCUACAAAAUCUGGUUCCUUUACGGCACGUCAGAAGCAGGCACCAAGCCGAAAAAAAGCAGCACCUGGUACAAGAGGAAAAGUAUCCACUGCAACGGUUUCUUCUGAGAGUGACUCUGAUACUGAGCAGCAAGUUAGAAGGCAGCAAGAAACAAAUAAGCAAAAAGAGCAGCUCUCUCGCCCACAUCUACAGCAACAUACUGUUAAGGAAUGACGGAACAGAACCAGCCUCUCAGUGCAUAUAAAACCAGAAUCUUUGGGAAUCUUGUUGCCAGUUGCACAGCUCAGAGUGUUGGAGAGCUGAGUGCAAAUAAUGGAAAAUAAUGGAACAUGCUUGACAACUAUUGUUAUCAUUGCUUUUUUUGGCAUUCAUUCAAAACUAUUGUUAUCACUGUUCUUUUUUGGCAUUCAUUCAAUGCCAGCAUCACUACUGGAGGAUGAAUCUCUAUUCCAACUCAGUGAACAUUAAUAAUUGCAAAAAACAGAUUUAAACACAAGUAUAAUAAAGGAUUAUCCACUGGUAUCCA